GCGGCUUAAUUUGACUCAACGCGGGGUAAUUUACCAGGUAUAACAUGAUAUAAUAUUUUAUCAUGAUAGUGGUGCAUGGCCGUUUCCAAUGGAUGCUGUGAAGUAAUGAUUAAUUUCAACAAGAUGUGAGACCCUCAUUUAGACAGAUGUAGUGAUACAUAUGAAGGAGAGGAUUAAAACAGGUCCGUUAUGCCCUAAGAUAAUCUGGGUUGCACGCGCAAUACAAAAAUAUUUGAUAUUAUAAGGGAUAAUAUAAUGUAAGAUAUAUUUGAACAUGGAAUUGCUAGUAAAUUCUAUUAAAUAAGUAGAAUUGAAUGAGUCCCUGUUCUUUGUACACACCGCCCGUCGCUAUCUAAGAUGGUAUUAUCUAUGAACAAAUUUAUAACGUGAAUAGAUAGUACUAGAUCUGAUAUAAGUCGUAACAUGGUUGCUGUUGGAGAACCAUUAGCAGGAUCAUAA
RNAcentral lists this ribosomal RNA (459 nucleotides) under Nosema bombycis. RNAcentral's name for it is "SSU rRNA". It matches the Rfam family "Microsporidia small subunit ribosomal RNA", at positions 819 to 1311 of the family's 1311-position model. The record is from RNAcentral. Lineage: Eukaryota; Fungi; Microsporidia; Nosematidae.